This 373-nucleotide ribosomal RNA is filed under the name uncultured organism. RNAcentral describes it as "bacterial SSU rRNA". It matches the Rfam family "Bacterial small subunit ribosomal RNA", at positions 526 to 896 of the family's 1533-position model. The record is from RNAcentral.
CGGGGGGGGCAAGCGUUGUUCGGAAUUACUGGGCGUAAAGGGCUCGUAGGCGGCCCAACUAAGUCAGACGUGAAAUCCCUCGGCUUAACCGGGGAACUGCGUCUGAUACUGGAUGGCUUGAGUUUGGGAGAGGGAUGCGGAAUUCCAGGUGUAGCGGUGAAAUGCGUAGAUAUCUGGAGGAACACCGGUGGCGAAGGCGGCAUCCUGGACCAACACUGACGCUGAGGAGCGAAAGCCAGGGGAGCAAACGGGAUUAGAUACCCCGGUAGCCCUGGCCCUAAACGAUGAAUGCUUGGUGUGGCGGGUACCGAUCCCUGCCGUGCCGAAGCUAACGCAUUAAGCAUUCCGCCUGGGGAGUACGGUCGCAAGGCUG